UCUUCUUGCUCUGGGUUUAACGGGCCACACUGGAGAGCAGGCAUGGGGCCUUGUGCCCCUGAGCAGGGCCAGGUGUGGGACCAGAGCCUUCGUCGUGCCCAAGGCCUGCAGGCCUCAGAAACCCCAGCCCCACACCAUGCCGGUGCUCCCAGCUUUCCCUGAAUGUCAUUCGUCAUGAGGGCUGAGGUUCAAGGACCCACUUACUCUGGUGGCCACUUACUCUAGAGGCCUGAGUACGCCAGGCUGUGAAGCUCUGCCAAGUACCUGGGAAUCUAUAUCCAUGCGGGGCACCAUCUCAAACUGCAUGAGUCAGGUGCUACUUUACUCUGUGUUCAACACGUGUUCGUGGACGUGCUCCAGGCCCAAGGCGAAGGAAUAGGAUGUAGCAGGGGCAGGGUCUCCGCCCCAUACUCAGAGUCCUUGGGCUCCGGGAAGACACAACCGAUAAGUGGUUACGGGGAUGCCUGGGAGCUACGGGCACACACAGACCCUCCUGGGCCCAGCAUAAGGGCCAGGGAAGACUUCCUGGAGUCCAAGUGGAAGCUGCAGGUUCUGUUCCCAGGCUGCUGUUGGGCAGUGAACAAACGGCACUGGAUUCAGAGUCGGACAAACCUGGGUUCAAGUCCAAUCUGCCUCUCAAGCUGUGUAGCCUUUAGCAAGUCACUUCUUCCCCUUGGGCCUCAGUUUCCUCAUUUGCCAUCUCACCCUUCACAGCACUGAUGUUUGGAUUAAUGCGAUGAGGCAGGUGAAAGCACUGUAAAUGCCACCCAGGCACGGAGCUUUCAUGGGACAGUUGAAACGCAGGUGAAAUGAAAGUCAGUGUCCUGUUGUCCUCCGACUUUACAUUAUUAAAGAGAAUUGGGCUGGAUGCAGUGGCUCACAGCUAUAAUCCUAGCACUUUGGGAGGCCGAGGUGGGCAGAUCACUUGAG
Molecule: long non-coding RNA, 930 nt
Filed under: Homo sapiens (human)
Lineage: Eukaryota; Metazoa; Chordata; Mammalia; Primates; Hominidae
Description: HSALNT0300417
Source: RNAcentral